Long non-coding RNA from Strigops habroptila (Kakapo), 1700 nucleotides. RefSeq lists it as uncharacterized. Lineage: Eukaryota; Metazoa; Chordata; Aves; Psittaciformes; Psittacidae. The record is from RefSeq and is a predicted model, not a curated record. The transcript has 2 exons.
CCCAGCCUGUGCUGGUGCCCUGGGAAUGUGGCUGCCCUGAUGCUGCUCCGUGCCCUGUCCCCAUUGCCGUGGAGAGCUGACAUCCCUGAGGUGUAACCUGCACACAGGAUUUGUUCCUGCACCCACCACUGAUGGAGAUUUCUGGAAGAGAGCAAAUGGUUGUGAAUAUGAUAACAGCUUUGCAAGACUUCCACAAACUAUGAAUGCAUGAUAACAUCUGCAUAAAUUAUUCAAGCUAAUCAGCAUGGGGGAUAUUUCCCCGGCAAUUUCGUAUGGGCUCCUGAAGCUUGAUUGUCCCUCCCGCUGGGUGUGCUCCACCUCCUGCAGUACCAAGGGAAGGUCCUGAGCAUCCCAGGUCUCCCAGCUCCUCCUUAAGACUGCAAACUGUUCUCCCUCCUGCCUGGAUGUGCUUCCCCCCAGCUCCCAGCACUAUUAACACCUCUAAUUAGAGCUUCUUAUUGAUGUAGUGCUGUUUGUCUAACUGCAGCUGAUGAAGGCAGAGGAGCCAUCAAGCCUAAAUGAAUCACACCUUCCCACCUCGCAGCACAGCAGCCUGCACACCCAUCACCGUGCUCCUCAGGGCUGGGGGGGCAAGGAGAAAAGAAGCCAGGUGUUUGGAGGGGGAUGCUCCCUCCUCUGGCGAGAAGCAAUGUCUUGUUAUUUACUGAUGCUGGAGGAGAUGUAUCAAUCCUCACGGAUGCCAAGCACAGCCCCGCUGCUCCUCGUUUUGCUGGUUCUGACUUGCUCCUCUUGGUUUUGGAAAUGCAGAAGAGACAGGCUCCGAGACAGCUUUGACGUGGGGAAAUGUGGGAAGAUGUGGGGAAUGUGCCAGCAGCUCUUCCCUUGUGUGUAAGGAAAUGUUAGGGGAAGAAGCCCAAACCAUCACACCCUGAGGAAUGCCUGUUCUUGGUCAGCUUCCCAUCCCUGCCAGGCCCCUCUGGGCCACACAGAUGCUGCUGCAUGUUCCUCAUGGUGCCCCUUUCUGGAUGCCCAUCGUUCCGGGGGGAUCCUGAGCCUGAAGGAAGGGGAAUUCCUCUAGGAUUGGAACAAACGCCCUCUGAGGCUGGCUGAGGUCUCAUCUCUAAUGGACAUGUCUGGGUCGUAAUCCAUGGCUGGGUCCAAACCCAGGGACAUCCCACUGUGUGCCAUGUCACAGCUGUCCCACUGUAUUGGGGUCUUACUGGGGUAGCUUCAGCAUGCCCCAGUCUCUGUGGGGUUGGGAUGGAGGGCUGGUAUCAAACCAAGUGUUGAGAUCCUUCACAGACCCUCUUAGCUGAUGGAUCAGCAGCAUUUUAGGGAGUUGCUCUGUGGUUUUAGUGCUCUUUUACUCAACUGCUUCUCACCCUGAUUGCCUCCGUCCAUCUCCUCUCAUCAAGGUCCUCAGGAGCUGCCUAAUUGACUUCAAAGGGAACAGGACUUGCUUGACAAUGAGUUCUGCAUUCCUCAGCCCCCGUGGCAGAGCACUUGAUGAUCCCAGCACCAGCUCCCGCAGCACUUCAUCUUCACUGGUUUGUCUAUAGAAGAACAAUAGAAAGAAAACCGAAAGAAAAUAGUGCAAAAAAUUCCAUUCCAUUACGUGAUCAAUAUUCCUUUGUCUCCGUAUUCAAGUUUUGAACCCUGCUGAGGAGGAACAAGUGGAACUGCCUCGUUGGAGAUGAGAAGUUGAUCUUUAAAGCCAAUAAAGAUUUAGGAUGGUGUAA